Molecule: long non-coding RNA, 582 nt
Organism: Lolium rigidum
Lineage: Eukaryota; Viridiplantae; Streptophyta; Magnoliopsida; Poales; Poaceae
Exons: 4
Source: RefSeq, a predicted model, not a curated record
AACUUUGAUUGUUCAUCAUAUUUUGUCACACACACCUUGUUAGACUCCAAUUUUAUACUUAAAAGAAGUUCAGUGUCCAGAGAAAGAGCAGUUGGUUGUUAUUAGUUUUAGCCUGCAGAUUAGUAAGCAUAUUGUAGCUGAGAAAAAUUAUAACUAGAAAAUGUUGUCUUUGUAUUUCUGCUCAAAAGAUAGUAUAUGGCACACCAGUUGCCAACUACAUCAUCUGCAGAUUUCGUGCAUGGUGAUGCUUAACUGGCAUCCUUCAGAGCUCCUUCGGGUUGAUUCAAGUUAAUGACUGAACACACUUGUAUUCUAGAGACAUUAAAAGUAACAGUAGUAUUUGUCUAGAUGUCCCGAAGGAGCUGCGCAGUUCUCCAUCGACCAUUCCAAACCGUUGAUUAUCUGUUUAUACGGUCCAUGGUACCACCAACUGCCAGCAACGUACAUCUACUGCAGAUUUUGGAGAUUGAUUUAUGGUGAUGUUUCACUUCUUCCAGAGCUUCAGUUCUUGCUUAGCAGAAUAAUUACAGCUGACAGUGAAUUUGGACGUUGGCAUUCAGAACUGGGUUGUUGCAUCCAAAC